This is an RNA transcript of Olea europaea var. sylvestris, 1704 nucleotides long. RefSeq lists it as uncharacterized. The record is from RefSeq and is a predicted model, not a curated record. The transcript is spliced from 5 exons. Lineage: Eukaryota; Viridiplantae; Streptophyta; Magnoliopsida; Lamiales; Oleaceae.
CAUGCGGCAUUCCCUCUCUGUUUUGCCUCCAGAAAUGUUCAUCAAAAAUAAUUCCCUCUUUUUGGCUUAACUUCUUCAUCGAUUGCUACCAAUUAAAACCUAAUUAAUUCAAUUUCCCUACCUUCAAAAUUUCUUGUGGAUCCCAUGAUUGCAAUCGCAAUCUCUUCAUCUGCCACGGUAUUGAUUUUAAAUCAAUAAAUUCCUGCCUAAUCUACUGCGUACAGAUUGUGUUCUUCAAGCAGUCGUAAAGGUAUAGAUGUAGGACACUUGCCAAGGACUCUCGAUAUCACCCUACUCGAGGAGAAUGUAAACAAAUUAAAGACAUCUUGUAUCAUUCGUACAAUUCGAGAGAAAAUUUGAGUUUUAUACAAUUCAAUGAACUUCGAGUAGAUUUGAAAGACUCGAGAUUGGAAAAUUAUACUAAUAGACUAUACAAUGGAAGGUAUAGAGAAUUUAAAGCUGUGUUGAGUGCAUACUAUAAGUUGCAGAAGACACAUGAGAAUACAUUAGCCAACCUCCCUCUGGAGAUGCUCGAUAGAGGUGCAAAUCAAUGGGUGGACCUGUGUAAUCAUUUGAACUCCAAUAAGUUCAAGGUAUUUAUUGUGUAAUUAUUUACCAGUUCACAGCCAACCUCCCUUUGGAGAUGCUCGAUAGAGGUGCAAAUCAAUGGGUGGACCUGUGUAAUCAUUUGAACUCCAAUAAGUUCAAGAAAGCAUCAUCAGCAAACAUAGUGAAUCGAUCGAAGAAGAAAUACAACCAUCUAUUGGUUCACGUCCUUUCUCAUACAUAGUGGAGAAGAUGACUGAGGAUGGUUCAAAGUUUCCCGAAGUCAACACAUUUGAGUUCGCUUAUGUUGGGAAGAACAAUUGUUGGACUUGUAAUGCAGUUAAAGCUCAACAUAUAAGAAAUACUCAACAUUAUAAAAUUGUUUUCUUAGCUUGAGAGAUGAUUAUAUUUCUUAGCUUGUGCUAUAUCUCUUGUGUGCAGUUGUGUUAUCUAUUGCAAACUUUGAUUUUAUGGACUGUUUUAUAUAUCUUGGUGGUUGUGUUUGUAGGAUGAGACGCUUUUCAAAGAGUAUGAAUAUCUUAUAGAGAGGGCAAAGGAACAACAACUUCCCAAAGAUAACCCUUUGGAAGAGAUACCGAUAGAUGAUCCUGAUGUCAAAAUUAAUAUCAUGAUGUCCGUUCUAGGUACAAAGCCCUGCCGUCGAAUUCUUGGGUUAGGAGAUGGUUGCCUUCGAGACAUUGCAAUACUUUCUUCCAAUGUACACACUUUGGGGAAGGAGUUGGAAGCAGAAUGUGCUGCUCGAAAGGUAGCCAAUGCAGCUCGAGUAAACAUGGAGCAAAACAAGCUAAAGGUUUUUGAGCAACAAUUCAAUUCUACAUUACAAUCUUGGUAUCAUUCUAUGCACCAACUAUGUGGUAAAGUUCCUGGCUUUAUUGUACCACCAUUUAUACCGUUGUCAAUAGAGAAUACUGGUAAUGGGAAAGAUGAUGCUAUUGAAGAUGAAGAGAAUGACUUCGGUGAGAAUCAGUGCAUGUCUAAUUUACGAGACUGAAGAGUCAUUUUUUAUUUGCAUAACAAUAGAUAUAUAGCAUGUCUCUGCUUAUUUUAACUUUAGAUGUAAUCAUACUUGGUGAAAAUCAUUUAUUCAUGUUUUGAUGAAAUAUUUUGAAUUCAAUGUUGAUUGACAUUACGUUUUAA